Molecule: ribosomal RNA, 450 nt
Filed under: uncultured bacterium
Lineage: Bacteria
Description: partial 16S ribosomal RNA
Rfam family: Bacterial small subunit ribosomal RNA
Source: RNAcentral
GUGGGGAAUUUUGGACAAUGGGCGCAAGCCUGAUCCAGCAAUGCCGCGUGCAGGAAGAAGGCCUUCGGGUUGUAAACUGCUUUUGUACGGAACGAAACGGUCCGGGUUAAUACCCUGGGCUAAUGACGGUACCGUAAGAAUAAGCACCGGCUAACUACGUGCCAGCAGCCGCGGUAAUACGUAGGGUGCAAGCGUUAAUCGGAAUUACUGGGCGUAAAGCGUGCGCAGGCGGUUUUGUAAGACAGGCGUGACAUCCCCGGGCUCAACCUGGGGAUUGCGCUUGUGACUGCAAGGCUGGAGUGCGGCAGAGGGGGAUGGAAUUCCGCGUGUAGCAGUGAAAUGCGUAGAUAUGCGGAGGAACACCGAUGGCGAAGGCAAUCCCCUGGGCCUGCACUGACGCUCAUGCACGAAAGCGUGGGGAGCAAACAGGAUUAGAUACCCGAGUAGUCC